AUACGGAGGGUCCAAGCGUUAUCCGGAAUCAUUGGGUUUAAAGGGUCCGCAGGCGGUCAAUUAAGUCAGAGGUGAAAGCCCAUCGCUCAACGAUGGAACUGCCUUUGAUACUGGUUGACUUGAGUUAUACGGAAGUAGAUAGAAUAAGUAGUGUAGCGGUGAAAUGCAUAGAUAUUACUUAGAAUACCGAUUGCGAAGGCAGUCUACUACGUAUAUACUGACGCUGAGGGACGAAAGCGUGGGGAGCGAACGGGAUUAGAUACCCUAGUAGUCC
This 274-nucleotide ribosomal RNA is filed under the name uncultured bacterium. RNAcentral describes it as "partial 16S ribosomal RNA". It matches the Rfam family "Bacterial small subunit ribosomal RNA", at positions 523 to 796 of the family's 1533-position model. The record is from RNAcentral.